This 506-nucleotide ribosomal RNA is filed under the name uncultured bacterium. Its description in RNAcentral is "partial 16S ribosomal RNA". It matches the Rfam family "Bacterial small subunit ribosomal RNA", at positions 29 to 523 of the family's 1533-position model. The record is from RNAcentral.
AGUGAACGCUGGCGGCAGGCCUAACACAUGCAAGUCGAACGGCAGCACAAGAGAGCUUGCUCUCUGGGUGGCGAGUGGCGGACGGGUGAGGAAAACGUCGGAAUCUGCCUAUUUGUGGGGGAUAACCUCGGGAAACCGGGACUAAUACCGCAUACGACCUACGGGUGAAAGCCGGGGACCUUCGGGCCUGGCGCAGAUAGAUGAGCCGAUGUCGGAUUAGCUAGUUGGAGGGGUAAAGGCCCACCAAGGCGACGAUCCGUAGCUGGUCUGAGAGGAUGAUCAGCCACACUGGGACUGAGACACGGCCCAGACUCCUACGGGAGGCAGCAGUGGGGAAUAUUGGACAAUGGGCGCAAGCCUGAUCCAGCCAUGCCGCGUGAGUGAAGAAGGCCCUCGGGUUGUAAAGCUCUUUUGUUGGGAAAGAAAAGCAGCCGGUUAAUACCCGGUUGUUCUGACGGUACCCAAAGAAUAAGCACCGGCUAACUUCGUGCCAGCAGCCGCCGUAA